AAAAAGAGUCCUGAUCCCUGUGAUGAGGAUGGGAGUACAGAUAUAGAUGAUCAGAGUCCAGGAACAAGCUUGGUUAAGAGGCCCUCACAGAAGAAGAAAAGAGGAAAACGGACCAAGGCUAUGGGGGCAAUGGUUGGGCGUUCUGAGCUCUUCUCCCCCAAAAAGAGUCCUGAUCCCUGUGG
Long non-coding RNA from Xiphias gladius (swordfish), 182 nucleotides. RefSeq lists it as uncharacterized. The transcript is spliced from 3 exons. The record is from RefSeq and is a predicted model, not a curated record. NCBI's taxonomy places the organism in Eukaryota, Metazoa, Chordata, Actinopteri, Istiophoriformes, Xiphiidae.